UCCCUGGUGGUCCAGUGGUUAGGACUCCAUGCUUCCAGUGCUGGGGCCCCGGGUUCAAUCCCUGGUCAGGGAU
Molecule: non-coding RNA, 73 nt
Organism: Eubalaena glacialis (North Atlantic right whale)
Lineage: Eukaryota; Metazoa; Chordata; Mammalia; Artiodactyla; Balaenidae
Source: the annotation of a RefSeq genome assembly